ACACAUGCAAGUCGAACGAAGGCUUCGGCCUUAGUGGCGCACGGGUGCGUAACGCGUGGGAAUCUGCCCUUGGGUUCGGAAUAACAGUGAGAAAUUACUGCUAAUACCGGAUGAUGACUUCGGUCCAAAGAUUUAUCGCCCAAGGAUGAGCCCGCGUAAGAUUAGCUAGUUGGUGAGGUAAAGGCUCACCAAGGCGACGAUCUUUAGCUGGUCUGAGAGGAUGAUCAGCCACACUGGGACUGAGACACGGCCCAGACUCCUACGGGAGGCAGCAGUGGGGAAUAUUGGACAAUGGGCGAAAGCCUGAUCCAGCAAUGCCGCGUGAGUGAUGAAGGCCUUAGGGUUGUAAAGCUCUUUUACCAGGGAUGAUAAUGACAGUACCUGGAGAAUAAGCUCCGGCUAACUCCGUGCCAGCAGCCGCGGUAAUACGGAGGGAGCUAGCGUUGUUCGGAAUUACUGGGCGUAAAGCGCACGUAGGCGGCCAUUCAAGUCAGAGGUGAAAGCCCGGGGCUCAACCCCGGAACUGCCUUUGAAACUAGAUGGCUUGAAUCUUGGAGAGGCGAGUGGAAUUCCGAGUGUAGAGGUGAAAUUCGUAGAUAUUCGGAAGAACACCAGUGGCGAAGGCGACUCGCUGGACAAGUAUUGACGCUGA
This 652-nucleotide ribosomal RNA is filed under the name Sphingomonas sp. RNAcentral describes it as "bacterial SSU rRNA". It matches the Rfam family "Bacterial small subunit ribosomal RNA", at positions 51 to 749 of the family's 1533-position model. The record is from RNAcentral. Lineage: Bacteria; Pseudomonadati; Pseudomonadota; Alphaproteobacteria; Sphingomonadales; Sphingomonadaceae.